Molecule: ribosomal RNA, 252 nt
Filed under: uncultured bacterium
Lineage: Bacteria
Description: partial 16S ribosomal RNA
Rfam family: Bacterial small subunit ribosomal RNA
Source: RNAcentral
UACGGAGGAUGCGAGCGUUAUCCGGAUUUAUUGGGUUUAAAGGGUGCGUAGGCGGACGGUCAAGUCAGCGGUAAAAAUGCGGUGCUCAACGCCGUACAGCCGUUGAAACUGUUUUUCUUGAGUAUCGGAGAGGUAAUCGGAAUUCCUAGUGUAGCGGUGAAAUGCGUAGAUAUUAGGAAGAACACCAGUGGCGAAGGCGGAUUACUGGACGACAACUGACGGUGAGGCGCGAAAGCGUGGGGAGCAAACAGG